GGCUCUGCCGCCUCCGGCUCUGCCACCUCCGGCUCUGCCGGUGCUUGCGGCGCUCAGCAGGCGGCACGGCAGCAGGAAUCCCGCAGGGAUGCGAUCCAGCAGGGAAUGGGUGCUGUGCCCGAGCGCUGUCCCGGUGCAGGCUGGUGACAGCAGCGUCCCCGCCCUGCUGGCCCCCAGAGCCCCGCGGUGCCCGUGGGACACCCGGCAUCCUUUUCCAGGUUGGAAAAAGGCCCUCUGGCAUUGCUGCUGUCCCUGUAGCCACGCAGCCAGCACGGGGCUACCGAGCCCCACGGCUGGGCCAUGCACUGGCCAUGGCCAGCGUCUGCCUUGUGGCCACCAAGGGCAAGUGAGACAGCCCACAAUGUCCCUGUUCCCAGAAGAUGCCCACUGGCGUAGGGAGGGAUGAAGGAUGGGGGUGAUGAGGAUGAGCUGAAUGUCAGCCCCCAGAACCCCUGAUCCCAAGGGCACACCAGGAGCCCUGGUAACAGCUCUGGGCCUGUGGGAAGCCCAGGGUGGGCAGCAGGAGCAGGCACAGCACGUGUGUCCCUGGAGCUGCAGCUGCUGCUGGAAGGGUGGCGAGGCUUGAAGUCACAUCGUGCACAGCAGGAAAGCCCAUCCUGCGCCGGAGCUAAUUGGAAGCCACAUCAGAGCAUGAGUCAGGGCUGAUCACAGCACAGCACUGCUUCACCAUCCCGCAGGACAAAGGCACGCUCCCCUAAAUCCAUUACUGGAAUUUUAUUUUCAAGCCUGUCAUGGGGCUGAAAAGGUUGUGAAGCUGUUUGGACACUGCCCUGCAGGGGAAUUCAGCUGAAGAGCUGCUUUCUCUAAGGCAGCACCUUCAUCUCCCAUCUCUGUGAUCAGAUCAGCGCUGAGGCUCAAGGUGCAUCAUUGUGUCACCUGAAGCCACCUCACAGGACACACUGAGCACUGCUGGUGCCUUCUCCAUGGUGGGCUGGGUGGCUGCUCCCACCAUGUGCAACCAGCUCCAUCCAGGAAUUGCCUGGGCUCUGCUGAGGGAGGCUCUCCCCAUCAAACUAAACCUUGCUCUCGUUCAUACGGGUAGGUGAUUUCUCCAAGCAAAUGCCCAGCAGUCUCUGGAAAAGCUCAGGCAUGGCGCUGGCCAGUGCUCUGUGCCUCAGUCCCCAGAAGGCCAGUGCGGGGGCAGAGCUCUGCUGACUCAGAGCUGUCGGCUCCACUCAAGUGAUCAAGAAAGGAGCUGCCCUGG
Long non-coding RNA from Corvus hawaiiensis (hawaiian crow), 1225 nucleotides. RefSeq lists it as uncharacterized. Lineage: Eukaryota; Metazoa; Chordata; Aves; Passeriformes; Corvidae. The transcript is spliced from 3 exons. The record is from RefSeq and is a predicted model, not a curated record.